GGCUUAUUGAUUAUAAUUUUAGGUCUGGCCUGCCCAAUGAGUAAUUGAAUGGCCGCGGUAUUUUGACCGUGCAAAGGUAGCAUAAUCACUAGUUUUUUAAUUGAAAGCUUGAAUGAAAGGUUUGAUGAGAAGAUUUCUGUCUCUUUAAAAAUUUACUAGAAUUUUAUUUUUAAGUAAAAAAGCUUAAAUAUAUAUAGAAGACGAGAAGACCCUAUAGAGUUUUAUAAUUAUAUAUUUUAUUCUAUCAAAGGAUAAAAAGAUUGAUUUUUUUUGUAAUUAUUUUAUUGGGGUGAUAGGAAAAUUAAAUAAACUUUUCUUUAUUGAAUACAUAAAUAUAUGAAUAUAUGAUCCUAUUAUUUAGAUUAUAAGAUUAAAUUACCUUAGGGAUAACAGCGUAAUCUUUUUUAGAGUUCUUAUCGAAAAGAAGGGUUGCGACCUCGAUGUUGGAUUAAAGUUUAUAGUUGGUGAAGUAGCUAAUUAAUUAAGUCUGUUCGACUUUUAAAACUUUACAUGAUCUGAGUUUAAACCGGUGUGAG
This 536-nucleotide ribosomal RNA is filed under the name Trigonopterus sp. 681 AR-2022a. Its description in RNAcentral is "partial large subunit ribosomal RNA". It matches the Rfam family "Bacterial large subunit ribosomal RNA", at positions 1860 to 2625 of the family's 2925-position model. The record is from RNAcentral. Lineage: Eukaryota; Metazoa; Arthropoda; Insecta; Coleoptera; Curculionidae.